Dreissena polymorpha is the source of this 1284-nucleotide long non-coding RNA. RefSeq lists it as uncharacterized. The transcript is spliced from 4 exons. The record is from RefSeq and is a predicted model, not a curated record. Lineage: Eukaryota; Metazoa; Mollusca; Bivalvia; Myida; Dreissenidae.
GAACUUUCACUUUCCGCGAAAAACCAAUGCCAGCAUGGCCAUAAAACACUACAUACAAAUCGAAAUCUAAAAAGCGCGGAACUUUCAUAUAUUUUCCGUCGGAGCAAUUAUUUUUCAACUCUGUAGAAAAAGCGGGCUCAAUUAAUCGCGCGGAACCUUAUUUAUCUACUCUGUACAAAUAGUAGUGUUUAAAAUCGCGCGGAGAUUGUAGAAUGCUAUUUUAAGAAGUCUAUUAAAGAGAGAAAAUCCAGUAAAUACCAGAUCCAAAAAGCGCGGAACACAAAUAUCGUCCGCGAAAAUUAAGCAUUGAAUUACUGUACAAAUCUCGGGUUGUUAGGUGUUAGAAUCCCUAGUUACCCGAAAAAUUUGAUUGGAUCCGAUACUUAGAAAUAACCAAUCAGAUACUUUGUAACAAAUGCAACACAAUCAGUGCGUUCAGUGUGUGUUGCCAGUAAUGGUUCAAGAUAUGCCAAACAAAUUGUGCCUCUCUAUACAGACAGAUUUCAGGUCUCAAUUUCAACUUCAAAGGUCAACAUAUCACUGAUAUCAGGAAUUCUGUGAAACUGUGGCACCAUGUAUGGUACGUGAGCGCACAAUGUCUGUUGGAAAAAGGAUAUUGGAAUAAGCAAAGGGACUCAACAUUACACAGUCAUUUCAACAUGUAGAGUCUUGUCAGCAAUGAUGGAGCAGUACAUCAGAUUUCCAGAAUCUCGUCAUGAGCUGAUGAUCAUUGCCUGUGGAUUUCAUGAAUGAUGUAGAAUGAUUGGACUGUUGAUGGAACCCACAGUGCAUGUCCUGCUUCAACAUCUGAGCAUAGGUCCUUGUUUAUCAGCAGUUUAGUUCUUCAAGCAGUCUGUGACAGUAACUUGAAAUGUUUGGACAUAUGCCCUGGAUGGCCAAGUUCUGUGCAUGAUGCCCAUUUAAAUAAGAACGGCCCGGUGGCGCAUUAAAUGGACAAUUUUUCGAAUGUUCUCGUGGAUUCAGCUUACCGCCUGACAAGAAAUCUUGCUUUUUGUUCCGUAUCGAGGCCAUGGACAUUUGUAUCAUUUGCAAAAGAUACUGCGAUAUUUGUGCCUUUGUUCAUGCUUUAUAGUUGAUUAACAAUUGGAAGCCAUAACCUGUUUUAUAGGAUGGUGUUAGUGGGACAAUGAAUUUUGUAAAGAUUUAAAGAAUGGAAAAGAUAAUUAAUAGUCAAAAGAGUUCUGCUAUUGUUAAGCAUGCUUUAUUGAUUUGUAAUGUUAUAAAGAUAGCAUUAUUAACAGAAUAAAAUGUCCAUAAUUUGAA